Molecule: long non-coding RNA, 844 nt
Filed under: Mus caroli (Ryukyu mouse)
Lineage: Eukaryota; Metazoa; Chordata; Mammalia; Rodentia; Muridae
Description: lncRNA (MGP_CAROLIEiJ_G0004890.1)
Source: RNAcentral
GGCUCCAGCCGAAUUCCCAGAAGGCAGAUGCUAGAAUCUGCAGCCUGGGCGGAAAGCACAAGCGUGGCCGGGAGGGUUGCUCCGUGCACCUGUGGUAUAGAGUGCGCUCACAGAAGCAGAGCCCCAGUCUACAGCAUGGCCACGUUUUAGUCUCUGCUGAAAAAUGUUGCUAGCAGGACCUGGACUGUUCAGAUUUCUCUUCUGAGGCUUCCAGCUCCAGGCUAAGUGAGUGCCUCAGUCACCCAGGCUCAGAAAUUAAUCAUACAGAAAUGAUCAAAACUAGGCCCAAAGAUGUUUGUAUAUGAAACCACCAAAGCAUUAUUUGUAGUACUGAAAAGUCAGAAACAUGGAUUUCCAGCAACUGAAUGGGUAAACCAGUGGUGGUCCUUCGAGCUUCAGAAAGAGCUCGUGGCUGUUACGUACGGAAUGGGUUAGACAAAAUAAAACAGCAAACUGAACAGGCCAACCCUCAAUGGACAAAUGCCGAGAAGAGAGCAUGGACGUUGGUUUGUUUCCUGCCUUCUCUCAGUAUACCCCAGGAAGUCUGCAGAGGAGUUAGAUACAAAUGAGAAAAAUAUAGAACCCAGAGGAUUGCAUGAUCAUUUUUUCCCCUAACAUCUGAUUCCAAACUGUUCAUGCUAAGAGACUUGGAGAAGACCAGAGACUGCAUUCUGAGCUGUAAGCCUCUUUUGGAACCUUUCUAAGUGCACACUGUAUGUAUGAGCUUUGGAAAUACAGAUCGAGCAGGUCUACAGAAACGAAGGGGGUUCAUCAUUACUGUCCUCGACUUUCUUUUGGGAUCUAAUUAAAGUUUUGCACACUUUCCUAAAAUGUGUUCUUGGUC